This is a ribosomal RNA of Cricetulus griseus (Chinese hamster), 115 nucleotides long. Lineage: Eukaryota; Metazoa; Chordata; Mammalia; Rodentia; Cricetidae. The record is from Ensembl.
GUCUACGGCCAUAACACCCUGAACGCGCCCGAUCUCAUCUGAUCUCGGAAGCUAACCAGGGCUGGGCUUGAUUAGUACUUGGAUGGGAGACCUAUAACCACACAAGUCUUGGGCC